RNAcentral lists this ribosomal RNA (235 nucleotides) under uncultured bacterium. RNAcentral describes it as "partial 16S ribosomal RNA". It matches the Rfam family "Bacterial small subunit ribosomal RNA", at positions 99 to 334 of the family's 1533-position model. The record is from RNAcentral.
CGGACGGGUGAGUAACGCGUGGGUAACCUGCCUUGUACAGGGGGAUAACAGUCAGAAAUGACUGCUAAUACCGCAUAAGCGCACAGGACCGCAUGGUCCGGUGUGAAAAACUCCGGUGGUAUAAGAUGGACCCGCGUUGGAUUAGCUAGUUGGUGAGGUAACGGCCCACCAAGGCGACGAUCCAUAGCCGGCCUGAGAGGGUGAUCGGCCACACUGGGACUGAGACACGGCCCAG